Molecule: ribosomal RNA, 471 nt
Filed under: uncultured bacterium
Lineage: Bacteria
Description: bacterial SSU rRNA
Rfam family: Bacterial small subunit ribosomal RNA
Source: RNAcentral
GAUGAACGCUAGCGAUAGGCCUAACACAUGCAAGUCGAGGGGCAUCACAUGAAGUAGCAAUACGGAUGGUGGCGACCGGCGCACGGGUGAGUAACACGUAUGCAACCUGCCUUCAACAAGGGGAUAACCCGUUGAAAGACGGACUAAUACCCUAUAACACAGGGGUCCCGCAUGGGAAUAUUUGUUAAAGGACAACCGGUUGAAGAUGGGCAUGCGUUCCAUUAGCUAGUUGGCGGGGUAACGGCCCACCAAGGCAACGAUGGAUAGGGGAACUGAGAGGUUUAUCCCCCACACUGGUACUGAGACACGGACCAGACUCCUACGGGAGGCAGCAGUGAGGAAUAUUGGUCAAUGGACGCAAGUCUGAACCAGCCACGUCGCGUGAAGGAAGACGGCCCUACGGGUUGUAAACUUCUUUUAUACGGGGAAUAAAGUGCCCCACGCGUGGGGUUUUGCAUGUACCGUAUGAAU